Molecule: long non-coding RNA, 1199 nt
Filed under: Manihot esculenta (cassava)
Lineage: Eukaryota; Viridiplantae; Streptophyta; Magnoliopsida; Malpighiales; Euphorbiaceae
Description: long non-coding RNA (MESC_LNC005689)
Source: RNAcentral
AAUAAAUUAGUUUUGGAUGUGGAAGACGCUUCUCACAAUCCAAAUUCCUCCUUAGUUCUAGUUUGAUUAGGAAACGUUCGCUAAUCAAACACUAAUCAACAAGUUGCCAAGGAACGUCCUUGGGGCAUUGUAGCAUCGAACAACUGUUGACUGCAUUAAGACUUAGAGAAACCCAAUUCUAUCCUUGCCAACCGCGUGGUCAAGUUUAGAUUAUGCAAUUUGAUUAAAUGUGUAUUUGAACAACCUAAGCAAUUACGGAACUAAAUCAUUCAAACACUAUUACUUAAGCAAUUUAAAAGCAAUGGGCCCUUAUUGAUUCUAAAAGCAAAGUAAUAUUUAUGGAAAGCUCAAAUUGCAUAAAUAUUGAAAAUAAAUAGAAGUUUAACAAUGGAGAUUUAAAUCUCCCAAUUCAUCACAAAAUUUGAAAUUCACCAACUUCAACUAUAAAAGAAAGUGUUUAGCCACUCAUGGUGGACUAAAUACACAAAAAGAUGAAAAGAAAAGAAAAAGGAAGAUGCUGGAGAGUUUCUGGCGAGUUGAGUUGCUGAUCAGAGGAUGAUUUUCUGGUUUGGAAGUCCUCCUUUUAUAGCUGAAGAAUUCUCUCAUCUAGGGUUUUGAAAUCCCCUUUUUGAUUUGGUGUUGGACUCCUCUUUUGAUGUUAAAUUUAAUUGCAAUUGGAUUUCCUUGGAUGAGAAGCUCUUUCGUGGCUCUUGGAUUUGUGUUGGAAGUGAUUGGAUUGGAUUUGGACUUCUGAAAAUUCGGAUUUCUGUUUGCUGCCAAUUUUCCCGCUCUGCUGCAAUUUUCUGCUGUCAAAGUGAUUUGCCCGGUGCUUUGACCAGUUUCUUCAAGUGAUUGGGCAAAUCACUGACCAGAUCGCUUCUCUGUGAGUCAGUCCUCUGUGUCUCUGCGAGUGAUUUGACCAGUGAUCUUCGAGUUUCUUGGGCAAAUCACUGCCCAUAUCACUGCUAUCUGUUGCCUCCGGGUUUCUGCCUUAGCUUGAUCAGAGCAGUGAUUGGAGCAGAUUUUUGGGCAAAUCACUAGGCAGAUCACCUUUUUGUAAAUUUUCUGCACUUUUUCUCCAAUUUUCCAAUUUCUUCCUUUUCUGUAAAAACAAGAUAAAAACCAUAAAUUAAACUAAAAAAUGUGUAAAUAAGCAAUAAUAAUUAUGAUAAAAAUGUGGCUAAAUUAUGCUUGAUCAG